Molecule: ribosomal RNA, 440 nt
Filed under: uncultured bacterium
Lineage: Bacteria
Description: partial 16S ribosomal RNA
Rfam family: Bacterial small subunit ribosomal RNA
Source: RNAcentral
CCUACGGGCGGCAGCAGUGGGGGAUAUUGCACAAUGGGGGGAACCCUGAUGCAGCGACGCCGCGUGGGUGAAGAAGGGCCUCGGCGCGUAAAGCCCUGUCAGCAGGGAAGAAAAUGACGGUACCUGAAGAAGAAGCCACGGCUAACUACGUGCCAGCAGCCGCGGUAAUACGUAGGGGGCAAGCGUUAUCCGGAUUUAUUGGGUGUAAAGGGGGCGCAGACGGCUGUGCAAGCCAGAUGUGAAAGCCCGGGGCCCAACCGAGGGAGUGCAUGUGCAACUGGGUGGCUGGAGUGCAGAAGGGGCAGGCGGAAUUCCUGGUGUAGCGGUGAAAUGCGUAGAUAUCAGGAGGAACACCGGUGGCGAAGGCGGCCUGCUGGACUGCAACUGACGCUGAGGCCCGAAAGCGUGGGGAGCAAACAGGAUUAGAUACCCGUGUAGUC